AUGAAGAGAUAAUCAUAUUCACUUCAGUAUCAGUGGUCAUAAUGUUAUGGCUGAUCAGUGUAUGUCGGCUACAUUACUUUAGACCCUUGGAGAUCAUAAGAACAUCAACUUAUGAGUUUGUAACAGCCCUAUGUAGAGUCUAUAGCAUCUGGUGACACCUGCCAGAGACUUCACUGCACUGUGAUUGGGUGUUGAAAGCACUGGCUGGGAGCUUCAGUUGUCUGAAGGAGGCUGUUAUGGCAGUUCUGCAAAGCUCAGUGAGGAGACCAUCAUUCGAAACAAUGUCUUUCUGUUUGUUACUAGUUUUAAUGGCCUUCAUUGGCACCAGUACACAAGACAGCAUUACUCCAACAUCUCCUGCUGUCCAUGCAAAGGUCAAUGAAAAAGUGACUAUUUCUUGUAAAUACCAGUACACUUUGUCAAUGAAUAAUCUCCAGUGGUAUCGACAAUACCCCAACUCUGUGCCGGAAUUCCUGAUUCUAAUCAUGGAGUCGGGACAAAAGCAGACCGCUACACCUCCUCAUCCUCGGCUCACAGCCUCAGUCAAUAAAGAAAGCAAGACGGUGAAUCUGGAAAUCUUCCCUGCAGAUGUGAAGGAUUCUGCCUUGUAUUACUGUGCACUGCAGCCCACAGUGGCAGGAAACACCAUGUACACCAUACAAAAACCUGCUCAAAGCUAAACGGCUUAGAUGUUAGAAACCAUGAGACCAGAGAGU
This is a non-coding RNA of Megalobrama amblycephala (Wuchang bream), 716 nucleotides long. Lineage: Eukaryota; Metazoa; Chordata; Actinopteri; Cypriniformes; Xenocyprididae. The record is from the annotation of a RefSeq genome assembly.